GACAGAGGGGGCAAGCGUUGCUCGGAAUCACUGGGCGUAAAGGGCGCGUAGGCGGGCCGCCGCGUCCGGGGUGAAAUCCUCCCGCUCAACGGGAGAACGGCCUCGGAUACGGGCGGCCUGGAGGGGGGUAGGGGCGUGCGGAACUGUGGGUGGAGCGGUGAAAUGCGUUGAUAUCCACAGGAACUCCGGUGGCGAAGGCGGCACGCUGGACCCCACCUGACGCUGAGGCGCGAAAGCCAGGGGAGCGAACGGG
RNAcentral lists this ribosomal RNA (253 nucleotides) under uncultured bacterium. RNAcentral describes it as "partial 16S ribosomal RNA". It matches the Rfam family "Bacterial small subunit ribosomal RNA", at positions 524 to 776 of the family's 1533-position model. The record is from RNAcentral.